AGCAUUGGUUGACAGCUGUUAUUUUUAAUAAUAGAGGAAAGUCCGCGCUAGCACAGGCUGAGAUGCCUGUAGUGAUCAUGCCAACAUUAAUAAGGUUGGGGUAAUUAAAUUACACGACUAGCACCACAGAGACGAGAAUUGUGAAACGGGUAAGCUCCAUGAGCUAGAAACUCAAAUUAAGGUAGAGGAAUCUAGAUUCGGGAAUUGAACCGAUAUAGAAGUUUAUAACUAGAUAAAUUGUCAACACCUAUAUUAAUAGGUACAGAACGCGGCUUAUAGAU
This 281-nucleotide RNase P RNA is filed under the name Mycoplasmopsis anatis. Its description in RNAcentral is "RNase P RNA component class B". It matches the Rfam family "Bacterial RNase P class B". From Rfam's summary of the family: Ribonuclease P (RNase P) is a ubiquitous endoribonuclease, found in archaea, bacteria and eukarya as well as chloroplasts and mitochondria. Lineage: Bacteria; Bacillati; Mycoplasmatota; Mycoplasmoidales; Metamycoplasmataceae. RNAcentral also lists the same sequence under 1 other name. The record is from RNAcentral.